GCAGGGGUAGCCAAGUUGGUCAAACUCCGGGUGGACGCACCGCCCACGAUCACCGGCGCGGGACUCAAGAUCCCGUCUCACAGGAGUACGCGGGUUCAAAAUCACCCCGGCGCGCCCCGGGUGAUGGAAUUCCCGUCCCCUGCA
This 144-nucleotide transfer RNA is filed under the name Candidatus Bathyarchaeota archaeon. RNAcentral's name for it is "tRNA-Leu". The record is from RNAcentral. Lineage: Archaea; Thermoproteati; Candidatus Bathyarchaeota.